AUGACGGGCACAUAUAGAAACAAUUAGAACACAAAAAUGGAUCGAGUUUUACUCUAGCACGAUCUUGGUCACCCGAAUCGCCACACGCCACCAUAUGUGUUUCUUUGUUUCACCGCGUGCUGUCGCCAAAGUAUUAUAUACCACCACUCGCUCAGCCGCCGGAACCAGCAUACGCCACCAGAACCACCCACGCGUCGCCUUGCUUUGAUCGAAAACCAUCACAGAACGAGCCGUACAUGCAAAUCCGGCUUAGAUAUGGCAAAAUUGCACUGGAGAAAGGUGCAGAUG
RNAcentral lists this long non-coding RNA (288 nucleotides) under Carica papaya (papaya). RNAcentral's name for it is "long non-coding RNA (CPAP_LNC005662)". The record is from RNAcentral. Lineage: Eukaryota; Viridiplantae; Streptophyta; Magnoliopsida; Brassicales; Caricaceae.